This is a long non-coding RNA of Beta vulgaris subsp. vulgaris (sugar beet), 1415 nucleotides long. RefSeq lists it as uncharacterized. Lineage: Eukaryota; Viridiplantae; Streptophyta; Magnoliopsida; Caryophyllales; Amaranthaceae. The record is from RefSeq and is a predicted model, not a curated record. The transcript has 7 exons.
GUUACAACUUACAAAACAUUGUCCGUAGUUCAGUGGUGAAACAAGCGUUGUGCGUUUUGCGGAGGUCUCACGUUCGAUUCUUUUCCCCUUCUUUUUUUCCCUCUUCAUCAUCGGAACCCUAAUUAUCAGUUCUUCCGAUCAAAUCAUACCGGAGUUUUCUUCACGCCGGUAAAAUUCUUCGUCUGUUCUUCCUAACUUUUCGCAUUCGUCAUGGAUUCAGAUAAACCCUCUUCCACCGGUCGAAAGUUUAGAUUUGCUCCAAAACCUCGAUCACAACGAAAGACUAAAGCAGCUACUGCGUCUAAAACAGAAAUGGCUGAUGAUAAUGAUGAUUCCGAAGUCCAGCGACAACAAGUGUUACAGCGUUUUAAUGAACUUAGCACUGAUACAUAUUAUCCCGUCACACUUCCUUGGAGGAAACCAAACUCUGGUGAUCCAGACAUUCUUGACGAGGCCGAAUUUGGGGAAGCCGCAACGGAAUAUGAUGAGAACGCAAUAAAUCCUGCCUCUGAACUUGGAUUGCUGAACCCAGAUGACACAAGUGAGGAAACCAGGCUGAUGUUUCUUCAACUUCCUAAUUCUCUCCCUUCAAUUAAUCGGUCUGCUACUGCUGAGGGGGAACAAAUAGAACAAGGCUAUAGUUUGAAUGAUUUGCCUCCAGGAUACAUGGGGAAGAUGCGUGUUUACAAUAGUGGAGCUGUCAAACUUAAACUAGGAGAAACCCAAUAUGAUGUUUCGCCUGGAUCAACUAUUUCUGAUGUCCAAGAAGUAGUGGCAGUCAAUACUGAAAAGAAGGAAUUCGUAUCUGUUGGGGACCUUGAUAAACGAAUGAUCAUAACCCCUGACGUAGACGACAUCUUGGAUAAGGAGAAAGACCUCGGCUAGACAGAAAAGCAUCUGAUGCCUAUGAAGAACAGCAACAUAUAGACUAUAGAGUACAUCUUGUAAUUUUGUAAGUAUGUAGGACUAAGGAAGGAGUGCAGGUUCCUUACUAAUUCAAAACUUCAAGCAUCAAAUUAUUUUCGAUUGUUCAAAAACUGAAAAUAUUGAUUUUGUCAUUUUAGCAUUACUGAUGCAAUAUGUGUAUACAUAACAUCUACAUAAUAUAGUUUUUGGCUUUUCUGUUAAAAAAAGAAUCACAUUCGAAGUACCGUUUUAGAUUUAACAUAAAUCUUUCAAUUCCUAAUUCCUUAAAGGUGAAUAAUACAAUACGAUAGUACCUAUUUGUAUGCGUUGUUGGUUUAUUUAGUUGGAGUAAUUUUAGGUAUAUAUGUUUUUUUUGAAGGAAGGAAUAUUAGUUUCUAAUAUGCCGGUUAAGUUAGUGAAUCAUGGGAUAUUUAGUUGAGUUAUUAGUGGAAGAUUUAUUUCCUUAUGGAUGUAGCUUAGGUUAUUAUAAAAAAAAGUUGGUUUGUAUU